GAGGUCCCGAGCGUUGUUCGGAUUCACUGGGCGUAAAGGGUGCGUAGGUGGCGAGGUAAGUCGGAUGUGAAAUCUCCAAGCUCAACUUGGAAAUGGCAUUGGAAACUACCUUGCUUGAGGUUUGGAGGGGGGACUGGAAUACUUGGUGUAGCAGUGAAAUGCGUAGAUAUCAAGUGGAACACCAGUGGCGAAGGCGAGUCCCUGGACAACACCUGACACUGAGGCACGAAAGCUAGGGGAGCAAACAGGAUUAGAUACCCUGGUAGUCCUAGCUGUAAACGGUGCUUGCUUGCUGUAAAAGGAAUCGACCCCUUUUGUGGCGAAGCCAACGCGUUAAGCAAGCCGCCUGGGAAGUACGGUCGCAAGAUUA
This 370-nucleotide ribosomal RNA is filed under the name uncultured organism. RNAcentral's name for it is "bacterial SSU rRNA". It matches the Rfam family "Bacterial small subunit ribosomal RNA", at positions 528 to 896 of the family's 1533-position model. The record is from RNAcentral.